Molecule: long non-coding RNA, 267 nt
Filed under: Ananas comosus (pineapple)
Lineage: Eukaryota; Viridiplantae; Streptophyta; Magnoliopsida; Poales; Bromeliaceae
Description: long non-coding RNA (ACOM_LNC034224)
Source: RNAcentral
CGUCACCGAGCGUGCACCACUGUACCAACGUCGGAUCGAAGUACCCACCUGUACAACUGUCGCGCCUGUCUCCUGACUGCAAAAUAACGUCAACAGGACCUAAGGGGGGUCCACUGGGUUAGUGUCUAACUUACAACUAAGAAACCCUAAAAGCAUAACCCCACAAAUAAACCCACGAGAAUCGAUUUCCCAAAACCGAUUACCGAACAAACCGGAAGUCCCGAAAACCGCACCGGAACUUCACCGUCGCUCACCCGUCGUUUCCAA